Long non-coding RNA from Pteropus alecto (black flying fox), 1171 nucleotides. RefSeq lists it as uncharacterized. The record is from RefSeq and is a predicted model, not a curated record. The transcript is spliced from 3 exons. Lineage: Eukaryota; Metazoa; Chordata; Mammalia; Chiroptera; Pteropodidae.
GCGCGCUCCAGCCAGUGUCCUUCUCAGGCCGCAGGGCGGCGAGGGCCGGCCGGAAGAGCCGAGGCGAUUCUGGGGAACGAGCGUAGGGCUGCAACGACGGCGACGGGCCAGUGCCCGCGGUGGACGUGCGGGACGGAGAGCGCAGGGCACAAGUGAGGCGCAGAAAAGGCACGUUUGAAAAGGAUGACAACAAGUUCUGCAGCCGCAGAGCGCGGCCCGGCGCGAACAGUGGCCUCCUGGCCUUGCCCCUCGCCGCCGCAGUGCUCCCCGAGCUCAAAGGAGCCCGCGCGCCAGUGCACAGGGGCAGCUAAGAGGCCCGGGAGCCGCGCGAGCGGCAGUUUCGCGGGGUCCCGCUAGAUCCCGCCCACCGGUGCCCGCCCCGCCUCAGUCAGCGUAGGCCCCGCCCACAGAGGGCUCGCCCCGCCCAAUUCAACGUAGGCUCCGCCUCAGCAGCAUAGGCGCCGCCCACAGGGGCCCGCCCCGAGGCUCCAGCUGCUCCAAUGGGCCUUUAUUUUAUUUUUUCAUUUGGCUUGAUCGAUACGAUCAAUAAACCACGUGAGGAAACCUCUGGGUUACGGCCAGUGUCAAGUGAUUUCUGUCGCCUCGCUAAUAGCUCCGGAGAGAUGAGUUUACCAAGGGAAGGUUAACUCCGAUUUACGUCCUACUUCCAGUGUCUGUCUCAAACCUAUUGUAGACCCUGAUGACAGGCAUCGAAAUUGAAGAAAUACAUGACGCAGAAAGACUAGGAGUGAACGGAUUUCAUGUGUGAGAAGCGAUGAUUAAGUUCCUGGGUUAUAACUGGGCACUUUCUCUUAGGCCCGGGUUUUGCUCUUGAAAGUUGCCAGGUAAAGCAUUUUUGGUUAUUCUGUGCUGCUCACGAUGGGAAAAGCUGAAAGAAGAAAAAGAUCUAAAGUGAGGAGUGUCGUUGGAGGUCCUGAAAGUUCUACCUGCAGGAAACACCCAGAAGUCACCGCCACAAGGCCCAGAGCACCCAGAAAGCUUGGUCAGACGAAGGAAGGCCUCUCGCUUGGCCCUGGAAGAGUGCUGAUAAAUGCCACAUGCCAGCCAGUCCCCACCAGCUGGGAAGAAACACCACCAAUGCCACAGCUCACGCCUGGAAUACGUCACGGAAACCCAAAGAUGACAUCUGCCAACGUCCGCAGACAUUUUG